GGGGAUAACAGGCUGAUCUUCCCCAAGAGUCCAUAUCGACGGGAUGGUUUGGCACCUCGAUGUCGGCUCGUCGCAUCCUGGGGCUGGAGUAGGUCCCAAGGGUUGGGCUGUUCGCCCAUUAAAGCGGUACGCGAGCUGGGUUUAGAACGUCGUGAGACAGUUCGGUCUCUAUCCGCCGCGCGCGUUGAAACUUGUGGAAGGCUGUCCCUAGUACGAGAGGACCGGGACGGACGUACCUCUGGUGUGCCAGUUGUUCCGCCAGGAGCAGGGCUGGUUGGCUACGUACGGAAGGGAUAACCGCUGAAAGCAUCUAAGCGGGAAGCCUGUUUCGAGAUGAGGUUUCUUUUGAGGUUCCCCAUAGAUGAUGGGGUUGAUAGGCCGGAUCUGGUAGCACUGUAAGGUGUGGAGGUGACCGGUACUAAUUGACCGACAAAAACACACAA
RNAcentral lists this ribosomal RNA (443 nucleotides) under Corynebacterium humireducens. RNAcentral's name for it is "partial 23S ribosomal RNA". It matches the Rfam family "Bacterial large subunit ribosomal RNA", at positions 2470 to 2925 of the family's 2925-position model. The record is from RNAcentral. Lineage: Bacteria; Bacillati; Actinomycetota; Actinomycetes; Mycobacteriales; Corynebacteriaceae.